GUGCCCGCUCCAGCAGCAUAUAUACUAAAAUUGGAAUGAUACAGAGAUUAGCAUGGCCCCUGCGCAAGGAUGACACACAAAUUCGUGAAGUAAAUAUUAAAUUU
RNAcentral lists this small nuclear RNA (104 nucleotides) under Microcebus murinus (gray mouse lemur). Lineage: Eukaryota; Metazoa; Chordata; Mammalia; Primates; Cheirogaleidae. The record is from RNAcentral.